ACCUCUUUCCAAAUCCCCAUUGUUUGCUUCAUUCACAGCCCUCUAUCUCCUGUAUUUGAAGUAGAUGAGGAGUUGGAGGAUGCUUAAGGGAGUUCCAAGCACACAUGGACCCUAUAGUACAACAAAUUAAUUAUUAAUAUUAUUUCUUCUUAAUUCUCAAAUUAAUUAAUUAAUAAGAUAUACACAAAAGAGUAUUACAAAGUAUGUCACAUCCAUUAAUUAAUUCUCAAAAUAAUUUUUAAAUGUAGACGUUUCUAAAAUAUGUCACAUCCAUUAAAUAUUUAUAUGCUUUUAGAAACACAAAAUUACAUAGUGAAAUUUCAAUUGUCAACAGUGACAGAUACUGUUCAUUUUAUUAACAUGGACUAAGCAGCAGACGGUUGUUAACAUUAUAAGGGAGACAGAGAAGAUGCUAUUUGAUUUCUUGCCAAAACUCAUUAAAUUACAUCUUGAUUGACAUAAAACUUUCGAUAGUUGCAUGUAUUUUUGGCUUAUCAGUCUCUUUCAUAUCUCAAAUUUUCAUGUGAACAUAAAAGUGUGUUGGUUGUUACAUGUAAGACUAUUAAAAUAAUCAUAAUUUCUAAAGAAAAAUUCAAUAUAUAUAUAUAAACUGUUGGGGAGUCCGGGGAGCUAAGAUCAACAAAGGCGUUACGGUUAACCAAAGUUUUCAUUGACAUGGUAUGAAAAAAGCUAAGAUCAUGGUUAUAAAACACAUCUUGCAAUUACUUCAAUUGUUGAACCCUAGCUAGCUAUGGCCAUAUAUUUUUAUUUCAUUUUUUAAUUUUAGAGGACACAAUUUGUUUUCUAUACACCUUUGAAAAUUUACUUUUUAUUGGUAUAUAGUAAUAUUUAUUAAUUUUAUUGUUUUGUCUGUGCGAGACAUCGAUCUCUAUUUCUCUUUUUCAAUAAUAAAAUAUGUAAGUUAUAAAAAAAUUACUAAAAUAUAAUUUUUAUUUAUUAUCUUUUAUUUUUUAUUUAUUUUGUUUUUUAUUUUAUUUUAUUUUUAUUUAGAUUCUUUAUUUAUUUUAUUUUGUAGUCCCACGUUGACCAGGAAUGGAGGCUAUAUUGGAUAUAUAAGGAGAAUGACCCAUAAUCCUAAUGCCUUAAGGUUUUGGGUUGAGAUGUGGUGUCUAAGUCUCUUAUAAAUCCUUGUUUAGCCCAUUCCGAAUGUCGGGCUCCCCCGGACUCCCCAACAAGUGGUAUCUAGAGCUCGGUUAUUUGAUUUGUCCAUUUAAAUGAGGUCCCAAUAUGAUUAAACUCAACUCUUCUAAAUGUGUUCGAUCAGAUAACGGUGACAAAUAGUGUUGAAAGAGAAAAGGGAAGGAAAUUGAAAUGUGUUCGAUCAGAUAACGGUGACAAAUACAGAGGGAAAGACAUAAUCAGAUGUAUGCUCUCUCAUGCAAAAUUAUCGAAAUCCUUUUGGGGUGAAGCAAUGAAAACUGAUGUGGAUUUGAUCAAUCUUUCUCCUUCUAUUCCACUUGAUGGUGAUGUGCAGGGAAAGAUGUCUCUUACCGUCAUUUGAGAGUUUUUGGUUGCAGAUGUUUUGUUCACGUUCCAUGAGAUGAGAGGUCCUGAAGAUUUUGAUAAAGCUGAAAAACAGAAACCAAAUUCCAGAAGUUACAUUGAAAAUGUUGCGCCUAAGCCCCCUGCAGAAACCUUUGUUGAUGGGGAGAUAUACAGGUAGAUAAUGAGAAUGUAACUGAUGAUCAUGUACCUCACCAUGAUGAGCAUGUUCCAGUUGAGCCACCAGUCGAGUUUGAGUUGAGAAGAUCUACUAGAGAACGUCAACCUUCUCAAAGAUAUCCUCCACAUGAGUAUGUGAUGAUCACUGAUAGUGGAAAGCCAUAGUAUUAUCAAGAAGCUAUUACAAAUGUUGAUAAAGAAAAGUGGUUAAAGGUCAUGCAAGAAGAGAUGAAUUCCUUGCAUGAGAAUCACACAUUUGAUUUGGUAAAGUUGCCUAAUGGUAGAAAAGCACUCAAGAACAAAUGGAUAUACAAGAUAAAGACAGAAGAGAAUAGUUCUCAACCAAGAUACAAAGCAAGAUUGGUUGUGAAAGGUUUUAAUCGGAGAAAAGGUAUUGACUUUGAUGAAAUUUUUUCACUUGUGGUGAAAAUGUCCUCUAUCCGAGUUGUGCUUGGGUUAGCAGCUAGUUUGAACCUAGAAGUUGAACAACUUGAUGUGAAAACUGCAUUCCUUCAUGGUGAUUUGGAGGAAGAGAUCUAUAUGGAGCAACCAGAGGGUUUCGAAGUCAAAGGUAAAGAACAUACACUAGUACGGACACAAAUAAAUAUUUACAAAAUUGGGCGGGUACAAAAUCUAUUAAUAUGACAAUUGUUAACGAUGAAAAGAGGAAAAAAGAGGAAGAAGAGAAACAACCACUCUAGGGUUUCAUAACAUAUAAUGAACCAAAACUCAAGUUAAUAGGGUUACAAUGAGUAUAUAUAUAAAAGAAUAGAAUUGUCUAAAAUACCCUUACUACUAAUAUAUAAUAAUAUUAUCUAACAUCUCCCCUCAAACUCACGAUGCAUUAACAUGGAGCAUAGAAAUAAGAGAGUCUCCAAGAAAGAUACAGAACCAUGUGGUGGAUUUACGAUUUGUGGUGUCACCAGCCCAAUCAGCAUCAGAAUAAGCUUGUAACUCUAAUGAGGAUGACGAUGGAAAGAGAAGACUUUGAAAUUGAGUUCCUCGAAGAUAACGAAGAAUCCGAAUAACUGUUGCCCAAUGUACUGUAGUGGGAGAGACAACAAACUGAAUAACAACAUGAACAACAUAAGCAAUGUCAGGUCUGGUAAUCGUAAGAUACACUAAGCUGCCAACCAAAGUACGAAACAAAGUAGAAUCUGGUAAAGGAACACCAUUCGAAGGAGCAUAUUUCACAUUCAACUCAAGAGGAGUAUCUGCUGCUCUAGUAUCAAAAAGACGAGUCUGAUCAAGAAAGUUGGCAAUGUACUUGGAUUGAGAAAGAAGGUAGCCUCUAGGAGAGUAGGCAACUUCAAUCCCCAAGAAAUAGCGAAGAGUUCCCAAAUCCUUCAUCUUAAACUGUUUGGCUAACUGCAAUUUCAACUCAUUGAUUCCACUGACAUCAUCACCUGUAAUUCCACUGACCCAUCAGACUUAGUUUUGAUCUUGUAUACCCAACGAGACCCAAUAGCACGUUUUCCAGGAGGAAGAGGUACCAAUUCCCAAGUAUUGGUUUUGUGCAAUGCAAAAAGUUCUUCUGCCAAGGCCUGGUGCCAAAGAGGAUCAAGAACAGCCUCUUUAUAGGAAGAGGGCUAAGACAAACUGUGAAUAGAGGUUAAUAAAGAAACAAACCAAGUUGAGUAAGUGGAAUAGAAAAAAUCAGGUAACUGAGUAGACUUACGUUGACGAGAGGGGUAACGAGGAGGAUCAACAAUCGCAGGAGGUGGUUGAACAACCGGGGGGCAAGAUGGAUGUCAUCAUGUGGAGUAUUAGUAUUUGUCCUGCAAUUCUCAAUGUUACAAUCACCAGAAGCAUAAUCAUUAUGACCAAACGGAUUAAUAUGGGUUAGUUCAGAACUCUUAGUAAUCUGAGAAUCAGAGGAAAUAGAGUAAAAAGGGGAUGUGCUCAAGAAAAACAACAUUACGAGAUACAUAAAGUUUUCCUACAUGAGGAUUAUAACAACGAUAACCUUUUUUACCAUUCCCAUAACCAAGAAAAACACACAGCGUUGAACGAGAAGACAACUUAAUGCGCUCUACUUGAGGGCGAAGAACAAAACAAGUAGAAACAAAAAAUUUCAAAGAAUGAUAAUCAGGGGUAGAAGCAUACAAUUUUUCAAAGGGAGACAAACCUGAUAUGAUAGAGGACGGAAUUCUAUUAAUAGCAUGAACAGCAGUAAGAACUGUUUCUCCCCAAAACUCACUAGGAACUGAAGCAGACAACAAAAGGGAACGAACAGUCUCUAUAAUAUGAUAGUGUUUCCUUUCAGCAACUCCAUUUUGUUGAGGAGUAUCAGUACAAGAUGUUUGGUGGAGGGUGCCAUCAUAAGCAAGUAAUUCAGAAAAUUUAUUAGAGGUAUAUUCACCACCUAAAUCACAACGAAAACACUUUAUAACAGAAUUAUGUUGAGUUUUGACCAUUGCACGAAACAUAUGAUAAAUGUCAAAAAAUUCAGACCGAUUUUUCAUAAGAUAAACCCAACAAUAACGAGUAUAAUCAUCAAUAAACGAAACAUAAUAUCUAGAUCCACCCCGGAAUGUGGAUCCUGCACACAACAAGAAGUGGAAGAAAACAUAACCGAAUAACCGAGAUCACAUAUUUGACUAACAGAAGCAAGACUCAAAGUAAGAUUAGGAAUAUAAUAAACAUCAGAAAGAGACAUGUUAGGUGUGGAGACAGAACCAACGCCUGCUAGUGGCAUAGGAGUGCCAUCAGCAGUCAUAACCGACACAGACGGGACAAGUUUCACAGACACAAAAGAUUUAUCAUCGUAUGGCAUAUGAUGAGAUGCUCCGUAUCAAGAAUCCAUAUGGAAGGAGAUAUACCUGACAUACCAGAGGAGUUCAAACCUUUAGAGGAGGUGGCAGACAUGGCAUGUGAUUGAGUGGCAAGAAGUUUUUGAAGUUGUUCUGCAAUAUCAGAUAUUUGAGAAGCAAUCUCAGAUGGGUAUACAGAACCAGACCUAGAGCCAAUGGUAGGAGGAGCAGAAGCAACAACAUUGGACGAUGACCCCCCUAAAAUUCUUCUUAUGUGUUCUCCCCAAUUUCGGAUAAUGUUCUUGAAGAGAGUCAUCCUUAGCAUCAGCCAUAACAAAUAAUGACAGGAAAAUACGACAAAUACAAUCACUGAGACAAAAUAAAUUAGAAAUAAUCUGGUGUUGUGCGAGCCCGAUUUCUCCCUCUCUGGACGUUGUUUCGCCGAUCCGACCAUUGAAGACGGAGACCUAAAUGUUGCGCAAAAAUCAGCCCGAUCCAACGGUUAACGAAUGCGCAAUCGAUGUUUUUCUGAGACUGAUUUAACAAAAUCGGGAAUAGGGUUACUCUUCUCUUUUCUCUUUUGGUGGUUGUCUUUCCUAUCAAAAUAGUCUCUCUCUUCUCUACGGUAGAUCCCAAAAUCAACCAAAGCUCUUUGAUACCAUGUUAACAAUGAAAAGAGGAAGAAAGAGGAAGAAGAGAAACAACCACUCUAGGGUUUCAUAACAUAUAAUGAACCAAAACUCAAGUUAAUAGGGUUACAAUGAGUAUAUAUAUAAAAGAAUAGAAUUGUCUAAAAUACUCUUACUACUAAUAUAUAAUAAUAUUAUCUAACAACAUUUGCAACAGAAUAUUUCACCAACAUAGGAAUUAUGCAAAUUUAUCCAAAGAGAAAUGAUAUUGGAGGAAUAAGCUUUAUUGAUGACUAUUGAGUAUUGUACAUACAUAAACAUGAUGAUAGAAUAAUGUGUAGCUUCCACGUCAGAAAAUGAGUACUAGACAAAGAAAGUGACCUUAAAAAAAGUAUGUGAUAUUCAGGACUCAGGAGCUCAGUAAUCAACAGGAAAUUUUGCAUUAUAGUUGUGCAAAGCACAGUGCAUGUAUGAAGCAGAAACUGACAUUUAAUAAUUCAGUCAAUAUACCAAAAAUAUCCAUAUGUUGUAUCCUACUUAAGAUUGUAUCAAACAAACAUAUUUUUCUUUCUUACCUCAAACUGGGAACUCCACAGCAUGCUCUGUUGCUGGUUUAAUUGACACAUCCAAUUCCAAAAUACCAUGAUUUCUUGAGACUGAAAUCUCUUUAGCUGCGCCAUCUUAGAAGCAGCACUACAAUUAAAGAUGUAAAACCUCAUUAUCACUACACUACGCUACAUCAUAAAUUCAUAAGUUCGUUGUAGUAGUUGGUUGAGUGAGAGAGAUUGUAUUA
RNAcentral lists this long non-coding RNA (5858 nucleotides) under Cicer arietinum (chickpea). RNAcentral's name for it is "long non-coding RNA (CARI_LNC000071)". The record is from RNAcentral. Lineage: Eukaryota; Viridiplantae; Streptophyta; Magnoliopsida; Fabales; Fabaceae.